RNAcentral lists this ribosomal RNA (346 nucleotides) under uncultured soil bacterium. RNAcentral describes it as "bacterial SSU rRNA". It matches the Rfam family "Bacterial small subunit ribosomal RNA", at positions 26 to 367 of the family's 1533-position model. The record is from RNAcentral.
AGGACGAACGCUGGCGGCGUGCUUAACACAUGCAAGUGGAGCGACGAACCGGGGCUUGCCCCGGGGCAGAGCCGCGAACGGGUGAGUAACACGUGGGUAACCCACCCCGAUGACCGGGACAACCCGAGGAAACUCGGGCUAAUACCGGAUGUGCUGGCCGAUCAUCAGAUCAGUCAGCAAAGAUAGCUUCGGCCUUCGCAUCGGGACGGCCCGCGGCCCAUUAGCUUGUUGGUGGGGUAACGCCUACCAAGGCAACGAUGGGUAGCUGGUCUGAGAGGACGAUCAGCCACACUGGGACUGAGACACGGCCCAGACUCCUACGGGAGGCAGCAGUGGGGAAUCUUGC